UAAUACAGAGGAGCCAAGCGUUGUCCGGAUUGACUGGGCGUAAAGCGCACGCAGGCGGAUACGCGCGUGGGGUGUGAAAUCUGGCCGCUUAACGGCCAGGCGCCAUCCCAUACGGCGUGUCUGGAGCCGUGCAGAGGUCGGUGGAAUUGCCGGUGUAGUGGUGAAAUGCGUAGAGAUCGGCAGGAACACCCAGGGGGAAACCAGCCGACUGGGCACGUGCUGACGCUGAGGUGCGAGAGCGUGGGGAGCGAACCGGAUUAGAUACCCGGGUAGUCCACGCUGUAAACGAUGGCCACUCGGCCUUUGGAGGCGGAUACUCCGUCUGUGGGGGCCUUAGCAAACGCGGGAAGUGGCCCGCCUGGGAACUACGAGCGCAAGCUUA
RNAcentral lists this ribosomal RNA (382 nucleotides) under uncultured bacterium. Its description in RNAcentral is "bacterial SSU rRNA". It matches the Rfam family "Bacterial small subunit ribosomal RNA", at positions 521 to 896 of the family's 1533-position model. The record is from RNAcentral.